AUUGAACGCUGGCGGCAUGCUUUACACAUGCAAGUCGGACGAGUGGCGAACGGGUGAGUAACGCAGCGGCACGUACCGAGUAAAGGGGGAUGACUGUCCGAAAGGACAGCUAAUACCGCAAAUGAUUCGAGCGGCCGAUGUCUGAUUAGCUGGUUGGCGGGGAAAAGGCCCACCAAGGCGACGAGGAUUAGCGGGUCUGAGAGGAUGAUCCGCCACACUUGGACUGAGACACGGCCCAGACUCCUACGGGAGGCAGCAGUAGGGAAUUUUGGACAAUGGGCGCAAGCCUGAUCCAGCCAUGCCGCGUGUCUGAAGAAGGCUUUCGGGUUGUAAAGGACUUUUGUUAGGGAAGCGGUACCUAAAGAGUAAGCACCGGCUAACUACGUGCCAGCAGCCGCGGUAAUAC
This 406-nucleotide ribosomal RNA is filed under the name uncultured bacterium. Its description in RNAcentral is "partial 16S ribosomal RNA". It matches the Rfam family "Bacterial small subunit ribosomal RNA", at positions 30 to 526 of the family's 1533-position model. The record is from RNAcentral.